Long non-coding RNA from Scophthalmus maximus (turbot), 294 nucleotides. RefSeq lists it as uncharacterized. NCBI's taxonomy places the organism in Eukaryota, Metazoa, Chordata, Actinopteri, Pleuronectiformes, Scophthalmidae. The record is from RefSeq and is a predicted model, not a curated record. The transcript has 3 exons.
GUGCGCGCGUGUGUGUGCGUGUGGACCUGCAAUGAUAACCUUUGGCUGACUUGGCCGUGCUCUCACACAAAAACAAAAUUGAAAGUGUUCAUACGGCUGGCACCCGAACCACACCCAACGGCCUCAGAUGUGGAGACAAGAUAUCAAGUUUGGUUGGCAAAACAGCAGUUCCCAAGAACUACAUUUAUCUAGCCUGAGAAAGAAUGCAAGCUCCGGGAAGGAAAAACAUACAAAGUAGGCUCUCGAACACUGGGGAGAGGAGUUAUGCAACACAGAAAAAGAAAAAGAGAGAGC